CUUGACCGACCCCAACCACAGCGGACGAUCCGCAGGCCGAUCCUGCCCGUAGGUGGCCAACAGGGCCUGGGCCUC
RNAcentral lists this antisense RNA (75 nucleotides) under Streptomyces caeruleatus. Its description in RNAcentral is "Streptomyces sp. GIMN4.002 ASpks TB sRNA". It matches the Rfam family "ASpks TB sRNA". The record is from Rfam by way of RNAcentral. Lineage: Bacteria; Bacillati; Actinomycetota; Actinomycetes; Kitasatosporales; Streptomycetaceae.